CACAGAGACUAACACAGACAUGUAUAUGCUCAUUAUUGCUGUUCAAACUGAUGUUCAAAUUUCCAAGCACCACCUGAACGCCUCAUUUAUUUUUAACCCAUCACUGGACCAACUGUCAUCAUUCCGCUUUGCUCUCUGCUGUGGAACUUGACUGACAUCUGUGCUUUGCCUGUGUGCAGAAGAACAAGGACCAGAUCUCCAGUCUUCUCUGUCACAUCCCAACCCCCAUC
Molecule: long non-coding RNA, 230 nt
Organism: Oreochromis aureus
Lineage: Eukaryota; Metazoa; Chordata; Actinopteri; Cichliformes; Cichlidae
Exons: 3
Source: RefSeq, a predicted model, not a curated record